GAUGAACGCUGGCGGCGUGCCUAAUACAUGCAAGUCGAGCGAACGGACGAGAAGCUUGCUUCUCUGAUGUUAGCGGCGGACGGGUGAGUAACACGUGGAUAACCUACCUAUAAGACUGGGAUAACUUCGGGAAACCGGAGCUAAUACCGGAUAAUAUUUUGAACCGCAUGGUUCAAAAGUGAAAGACGGUCUUGCUGUCACUUAUAGAUGGAUCCGCGCUGCAUUAGCUAGUUGGUAAGGUAACGGCUUACCAAGGCAACGAUGCAUAGCCGACCUGAGAGGGUGGUCGGCCACACUGGAACUGAGACACGGUCCAGACUCCUACGGGAGGCAGCAGUAGGGUAUCUUCCGCAAUGGGCGAAAGCCUGACGGAGCAACGCCGCGUGAGUGAUGAAGGUCUUCGGAUCGUAAAACUCUGUUAUUAGGGAAGAACAUAUGUGUAAGUAACUGUGCACAUCUUGACGGUACCUAAUCAGAAAGCCACGGCUAACUACGUG
This 497-nucleotide ribosomal RNA is filed under the name uncultured bacterium. RNAcentral's name for it is "partial 16S ribosomal RNA". It matches the Rfam family "Bacterial small subunit ribosomal RNA", at positions 28 to 507 of the family's 1533-position model. The record is from RNAcentral.